UGGGGAAUAUUGGACAAUGGGGGCAACCCUGAUCCAGCAAUGCCGCGUGUGUGAAGAAGGUCUUCGGAUUGUAAAGCACUUUCGACGGGGACGAUGAUGACGGUACCCGUAGAAGAAGCCCCGGCUAACUUCGUGCCAGCAGCCGCGGUAAUACGAAGGGGGCUAGCGUUGCUCGGAAUGACUGGGCGUAAAGGGCGUGUAGGCGGUUUACACAGUCAGAUGUGAAAUCCCCGGGCUUAACCUGGGAGCUGCAUUUGAUACGUGUAGACUAGAGUGUGAGAGAGGGUUGUGGAAUUCCCAGUGUAGAGGUGAAAUUCGUAGAUAUUGGGAAGAACACCGGUGGCGAAGGCGGCAACCUGGCUCAUGACUGACGCUGAGGCGCGAAAAGCGUGGGGAGCAAACAGGAUUAGAUACCCUGGUAGUCCACGCUGUAAACGAUGUGUGCUAGAUGUUGGGUACUUUG
RNAcentral lists this ribosomal RNA (463 nucleotides) under uncultured bacterium. RNAcentral's name for it is "partial 16S ribosomal RNA". It matches the Rfam family "Bacterial small subunit ribosomal RNA", at positions 355 to 834 of the family's 1533-position model. The record is from RNAcentral.